RNAcentral lists this long non-coding RNA (277 nucleotides) under Panax ginseng (ginseng). Its description in RNAcentral is "long non-coding RNA (PGIN_LNC004797)". The record is from RNAcentral. Lineage: Eukaryota; Viridiplantae; Streptophyta; Magnoliopsida; Apiales; Araliaceae.
UUCCACUUUACAACAAAAAGAAGUCAAUAAACUACAAAAAGUGCACAAUAAAAUUCAAAAAUAACACACUAAACUAUAUCAGCCCAUUAUUUAAGAUAUUCUUUAAAGCACUUAAGAUAUUCGGGGACACCCUUCACUCCAUAAACGACAUUGUCUUCCAAAUCCCUCAAGAAUCUGUUGUUCUCAUUCAUUGUCCCACUUCUCCUUCAGGUCGCGAACCCUAGCCCAACUAAUUUGGGGAUUUUUGUCUGAUAACCAACACGAAUAAAUAACUGGU